Molecule: transfer RNA, 77 nt
Filed under: Alphaproteobacteria bacterium
Lineage: Bacteria; Pseudomonadati; Pseudomonadota; Alphaproteobacteria
Description: tRNA-Arg
Rfam family: tRNA
About the family: Transfer RNA (tRNA) molecules are approximately 80 nucleotides in length. Their secondary structure includes four short double-helical elements and three loops (D, anti-codon, and T loops).
Source: RNAcentral
GCACCCGUAGCUCAGCCGGAUAGAGCGCUGCCCUCCGAAGGCAGAGGCCAGAGGUUCGAAUCCUCUCGGGUGCGCCA